AAGCUCCAUGGUCGAGAGGGAAACAGCCCAGAGCAUCGACUAAGGCCCCUAAGCGUACGCUAAGUGGGAAAGGAUGUGGAGUCGCAGAGACAACCAGGAGGUUGGCUUAGAAGCAGCCACCCUUGAAAGAGUGCGUAAUAGCUCACUGGUCUAGUGAUUCCGCGCCGACAAUGUAGCGGGGCUCAAGCGUACCGCCGAAGUCGUGUCAUUGCAGCAUAUAGGGCCAACGCCUGCUGUGAUGGGUAGGGGAGCGUCGUGUGCCGGGUGAAGCUGCGCCGGAAGGCAGUGGUGGACGGUUCACGAGUGAGAAUGCAGGCAUGAGUAGCGAUUCACACGUGGGAAACGUGUGCGCCGAUUGACUAAGGGUUCCUGGGUCAAGCUGAUCUGCCCAGGGUAAGUCGGGACCUAAGGCGAGGCCGACAGGCGUAGUCGAUGGAUAACCGGUUGAUAUUCCGGUACCCGCUGUGAAGCGUCAAACAUUGAAUCCAGUGAUGCUAAGGCCGUGAAGCCGUUCCGGACCCUUCGGGGAAAGGAAAGUGGUGGAGCCGCUGAACCGAUCUGGUAGUAGGUGAGUGAUGGGGUGACGCAGGAAGGUAGUCCAGCCCGGGCGAUGGUAGUCCCGGGGUAAGGGUGUAGGGCGUUGUCUAGGCAAAUCCGGACAACAUGAGCCUGAGACCUGAUGCCGAGCCGAUUGUGGUGAAGUGGAUGAUCCUAUGCUGUCGAGAAAAGCCUCUAGCGAGUUUCAUGGCGGCCCGUACCCUAAACCGACUCAGGUGGUCAGGUAGAGAAUACCGAGGCGUUCGGGUGAACUAUGGUUAAGGAACUCGGCAAAAUGCCCCCGUAACUUCGGGAGAAGGGGGGCCAUCACUGGUGAGAGGACUUGCUCCUUGAGCUGGGGGUGGCCGCAGAGACCAGCGAGAAGCGACUGUUUACUAAAAACACAGGUCCGUGCGAAGCCGUAAGGCGAUGUAUACGGACUGACGCCUGCCCGGUGCUGGAACGUUAAGGGGACCGGUUAGUCACAUUUCGGUGUGGCGAAGCUGAGAACUUAAGCGCCAGUAAACGGCGGUGGUAACUAUAACCAUCCUAAGGUAGCGAAAUUCCUUGUCGGGUAAGUUCCGACCUGCACGAAUGGCGUAACGACUUCUCGACUGUCUCAACCAUAGGCCCGGUGAAAUUGCACUACGAGUAAAGAUGCUCGUUUCGCGCAGCAGGACGGAAAGACCCCGGGACCUUUACUACAGUUUGAUAUUGGUGUUCGGUUCGGCUUGUGUAGGAUAGCUGGGAGACUUUGAAGCUCAUACGCCAGUAUGGGUGGAGUCGUCGUUGAAAUACCAGUCUGGUCGUGCUGGAUGUCUAACCUGGGUCCGUGAUCCGGAUCAGGGACAGUGUCUGAUGGGUAGUUUAACUGGGGCGGUUGCCUCCUAAAGAGUAACGGAGGCGCCCAAAGGUUCCCUCAGCCUGGUUGGUAAUCAGGUGUUGAGUGUAAGUGCACAAGGGAGCUUGACUGUGAGACCGACGGGUCGAGCAGGGACGAAAGUCGGGACUAGUGAUCCGGCGGUGGCUUGUGGAAGCGCCGUCGCUCAACGGAUAAAAGGUACCCCGGGGAUAACAGGCUGAUCUUCCCCAAGAGUCCAUAUCGACGGGAUGGUUUGGCACCUCGAUGUCGGCUCGUCGCAUCCUGG
RNAcentral lists this ribosomal RNA (1685 nucleotides) under Streptomyces acidiscabies 84-104. RNAcentral's name for it is "bacterial LSU rRNA". It matches the Rfam family "Bacterial large subunit ribosomal RNA", at positions 1000 to 2550 of the family's 2925-position model. Lineage: Bacteria; Bacillati; Actinomycetota; Actinomycetes; Kitasatosporales; Streptomycetaceae. The record is from RNAcentral.